This 303-nucleotide ribosomal RNA is filed under the name uncultured bacterium. RNAcentral's name for it is "partial 16S ribosomal RNA". It matches the Rfam family "Bacterial small subunit ribosomal RNA", at positions 507 to 809 of the family's 1533-position model. The record is from RNAcentral.
AGCAGUCGCCACGGUAAUACGGAGGGAGCUAGCGUUGUUCGGAAUUACUGGGCGUAAAGCGCGCGUAGGCGGUUACUCAAGUCAGAGGUGAAAGCCCGGGGCUCAACCCCGGAACUGCCUUUGAAACUAGGUGACUAGAAUCUUGGAGAGGUCAGUGGAAUUCCGAGUGUAGAGGUGAAAUUCGUAGAUAUUCGGAAGAACACCAGUGGCGAAGGCGACUGACUGGACAAGUAUUGACGCUGAGGUGCGAAAGCGUGGGGAGCAAACAGGAUUAGAUACCCCAGUAGUCCCUGUCUCUUAUAA